Molecule: ribosomal RNA, 301 nt
Filed under: uncultured bacterium
Lineage: Bacteria
Description: partial 16S ribosomal RNA
Rfam family: Bacterial small subunit ribosomal RNA
Source: RNAcentral
CAGCAGCCGCGGGAAUACGUAGGGUGCGAGCGUUAAUCGGAAUUACUGGGCGUAAAGCGUGCGCAGGCGGUUGUGUAAGACAGGUGUGAAAUCCCCGGGCUUAACCUGGGAACUGCGCUUGUGACUGCACAGCUAGAGUAUGGCAGAGGGGGGUGGAAUUCCACGUGUAGCAGUGAAAUGCGUAGAGAUGUGGAGGAAUACCGAAGGCGAAGGCAGCCCCUUGGGAAUGUACUGACGCUCAUGUGCGAAAGCGUGGGGAGCAAACAGGAUUAGAUACCCCCGUAGUCCCUGUCUCUUAUAC